AAAUAUCAACAAAAUUAAUCGCGCAAAAUAAAAAACAAAAAAUCCUCAAUUGUCAUAAGGUUCAAAAUAACCGAAUUUAGUUAAGUUGAGUUGAUCAGUUCUCACUUGGCCAUCAUGACCUUAACGAACUCGUCGUAGUUGAUGUAAUGACCCUAAAGGUCAUUUUUGGAAAUUUUCAUAAAAUGACCGUUCUACCCCUCCCGAUAGUUUCCCCGAGUCCUAAUUUUUGUAAUUUCGAAGUUGGUUUGAAGGAAAAUUGAUGAAAAGUUGAGUUUUUGGAAAGUUGAGUUUUUAAGAGUUAAAGUUUGGUUAAAAGUGCUAUUUCGAGUCAUUUGGAGUUUCGAGACUCGAAUCGGAUUUCCGUCGAUUUCAACAAUUUUAGAAUGUCGAAACGGGUCUAUGAGAAUUUACGGAGUCGAAUUUGGAGUUAAAACGAAGAUUUGAGGUCCUAAGUUGCAAAAAUUGUGAAAUUUUGAUCAAGAGUUGACUUUGGUCAACAAACGAGGUUCCGGUGCUCGAAAUGGAAUUCCGAGGGCACCGUUGGAUUCAGGGGGUGAUUCUAAGUCUAGAAUGAGUCUUGGUUGAAUUUUUAGAGGCUCCGAGUGCGUUUCGAGUUUUUGAGCCUAAAGUUAGUUUCUUGACGCCUUAUCGGAUACCGGGUCAAGGAGACCUCGAAUUCAAAUUCCGACGAUUUCAUUGAGUCCGAAAUGUCAUUUUCAAGCUAGUAGCAUAUUUGGUUUGUGUUCGGGAAGUGCCAAAUGAGUUUUGGGUGAGCUUUUAAGCUUCUUGGAUGCUUUGACACUAUUUCAGCAAAUUGUGACAACUAAAGGGUUCAUUAUUAGUUUUAAGGGUCGAAAAAUUAUUCCGAAGGUUCUGGAAUUUUGAGCAUGAAUUAUAGGACUUAUUUGUAAAUUUUGGUGCAUUUUCGCUAACCCGAGAUUGGACUUUUAUCGCAAAUAAGAAAUAAUUGUUUACCGAGUAGAAAUGAUAUUUGACUGGGCAAACGAGCAUGAAAUUGAGCUCCGAUUGAACGAGCAGGUCCGUAUCAUUAUUUAAGACAUUUACAAAAAAAGAAUCGGGUCAUUUCACUAUCGUAUGAGGAAAUUACGGCCUUUUUAGUGAAAGAUUAACUGCUGUUUUUCUGGUGCAUAACAGUCAUGCACUGUUAUAAAAAUCUCAGACUGUGUUCAUUUGGUAUUUUGAGCAUAUCGGGAGUUCUAGAGAUCGGAAUGGAGUGAUUCUUACGGGUUUCUUCUUGAAUUAAUAUGAGGGUUAGUAUUCAAUCUUCAAUUCGACAUUUUCUCAUAAUUUCUUAAUCUGCUUUUUCUUCCUAUCCGUAGAUCUCUUGGGAAAAAUUGGGGUUUUAUCGAUUUGGACUCCCUUUUUGAUGAAAAAGGUAUAUUGGCUGUUGAAUAUGAUCUGUUUAGUAUAGGUUGGUUGGUUUGCUGCUAGAUUGAAGUUUCGGUGGUUCGGUUGGGAUUGAAAGGAGUUGUUUGUAGCUGCUAGUUUUGCUUAGUUUAGAGUUACUUGCGAGUACCUGUGGUUUUCGGUACUCACCCUUGCUUCUACACAAUUGUGUAGGUUGACAGCUCUCUCAGAUUCGGCUUAGUAUUUUCUUUAGUAGAUUGAGCUUCGGGACAUACUCGAGAGGUAGCGGUUCAUUCCAGACGUGCCCUUGAGUUAUCUUUACUUUCAGUUUUGUUCUAUUCGAGAACUAUACUCUGAGACUUGUAUAUUUUUAUUCGAAUUCUGUAUUUAGAGGUUUGUACAUGUGACAACCAAAUUCUGGGUAGUGUUGAGUUUUAAUUAAAGUCUUCCGCUUAUUUAUUAUCUCUUAUUCUCGUAUUUCUACUUCUCUAUCGUUGUGGUUGGGUUAGGCUGACGUGUCCGGUGGGAAAUGGACACGUGCCAUCGCAUCCAGAUUUGGGGUGUGACAGUUGAUCUGUCCAUCACCAUCCACGUCAGCUUCACGAAUCAUCUCGUCAACCUCUUCAUCUGUAAGCUUCUCGCCUAGGUUUGUCAUGACAUGGCGUAGCUCAGCUGCAGAAAUGAAUCCAUUCUGAUCCUUGUCAAACACUCUGAAAGCUUCCUUGAGCUCCUCCUCAGAAUCAGUGUCUUUCAUCUUCCGAGCCAUUAAGUUAAGGAACUCGGGGAAGUCAAUGGUUCCAUUUCCAUCAGCAUCAACUUCAUUGAUCAUGUCUUGAAGCUCAGCCUCAGUUGGAUUUUGUCCCAACGAACGCAUCACGGUUCCAAGUUCCUUAGUGGUGAUGCAACCUGUAGAAAAAUUUGGCAAUAAAUUACAAAAAAUGUAUUGAUAUUGUGUUACAAAUCUUACAACAGUACUUAAAAAGGUUUAUUCUUUUUCUUAACUUAUUCAUUCUACCAGAAAAGUUCUAGACAAGCACAAAACAACGAGAAUAGCUAAACAAAACUAACACAUCACUAACCGCAUUCAUGACUUAAAAUUAUAAAAUAUAUAGGAAAAACAGGGAAAAUCUUUUCAAUGGGAGGACAGACCAAAUUUUAUUUUCAUCGAGCCAAUGCGAAGGGUUUGGUUAAGACACGCCAGAUUCCACCAAGUAUACAAAUGGAAUCUAACCAUACAUGUCCUCCGAUUAUAUCUUCUAAAUCGUCCCCACUAUGAAUCCAUCCUUCCCCUCCAAAAGGGGAUUUUAGUAGAAAACCAAAAAUAAUGAUACUCAAGCUAAGGGUCAAAUUGGUAGUUUUUCUUACAUCUCCCCCUCCCGGAAAUCAGGUUCGUCCGUAAUCUGUUUCAAACAAAAGAUGUAGUCAUCCCAACCAAACGCGGUCAGGUUUAGGUGUUACAGCUAAAUUCGCUUAUAUAAUACUACCAAGUCUGAAACUUUCUAAGGACAUAUUUAUCAGCUAGUUGGUAAGAAAAGCAAACAUAAGUAUAUAUAUACUUUCUUUUGAGAAAAAGUAACUGUAACAUAAGUAAACUUUUUAGGUCUUCUGGCUUUUUUGCUGAUGAUUGAUGUAAAGCUUGAGAAUUUAUGUUUGUACAUUCGAAGCAGUAGCCUUUUCAUUAGCAAUUACAAUGAAAAAAAACAUUACUUAUCAUCAUAAUAAUAAAUUAACUAACUAAUUAUUUUUUCUUACUCUUUGUUGGAAAUUAGCAAAUGAAGUGAUUGUAAUUAACCAAAAAAUAUUACUUUGCCAAUUAAUCUGCAACUAAUUUAAUCUAUCCAUCUAUAGACUAUACGUUAGGCAUAAACAAUAUGCCAUUUUUUCCUUUUUUUUUUUAGACUUUUUCUCCAUUUUCCCUUCUUUCUUUUUUUCAAUUAUUGCAUACCCAAAAAUGAUUUUAUAUAUAUAUGUAUAGAUAUGAUGUGGUUAUUACAACAACAUUUUAGACCUUUUAUUUUCUUCAUGAAACGUUUCUUAAAAGUCAUGGUUCAUUAAUUUAUUUCCCUCCAGCUCCUUGUAAGUCUAUUCAUAUUUUACAUUAUGGAUACUUUAAAUAUCAAAAAUUUAUAUUAUAAAUUACCAUCAAUAUAUCAGUUUUCAACAUUCUUGUAAACAUUUGUGCAUUUAUGUCUAUGCACUCCACAAAGGUAAGCACAUACAGUAUCUAAUCUUCUUUUCUCUUCUCGAUUCAGUACUUUUUUCUUCAUCUACACAUUUUCUAAGUUUUUUGUGUCUUUCUCAAUUUUUUUCUAUUUUCCUUUCGAAUUUCAUAUAGUAUUGUAAAUUUAUAGGUGAAGGUGAUGUUUGAAGAAAAAUACUAAAUUUGACGAUGAAUUGAAAAUGUCGGUCCAAUAUAUGUUUUUCUACGUUGAAGCAAAUUUAAGGCCAAAAUAUGGGGUACGUGAAUUGUAGUUUCUCUGAAAAAAUUAGGUGUUUUAUGUAUAUGAUUUUUAGAAUUAGUAUAAUAUUAUAUGAUGACACUCAUGCUAUAAGAAGACUAAAUGAUUCACUUGAUUGAAUGUUGAGUUAUUCCGUCCUAAAACCCUUAUGUUUAGUUGAGAAAAAAUAUCUUUAUCAAGAGUGGUUCAUUAUGACUUGUAAUAAAAUUUAACAUGAAAUAGUAAGAGAUGUUCUCUCUUUUGGUAUGCUAUGUAAUUAUUUACUCUUUUUUUUUUUCUAUUUUUCUUCUCAUAUAAAAUAGUGAUGAUACAUUUUAUUUGGUAAUUACUAAUUUAUUUGUUGCUGAAAAUUGAGUCUAUUAUUAAUUGAUUCUUUGAAAUAACAGGAUGGCCUGUGAUGGCAAACCGACAAUUUCUAUGCAUACUUGAGAUGAAUAAUCAGAUGUUAAAGUAGUGUAUUUUUUUUUUGUUAUCCCUGUGUCAUCUAUCUAUGCAAUAGUUAGUGGAAGACUAAAACAAAUCAUUCUAAAUUGAAUAGAUUAUACUAAAUGAUAUUAAAUCAUUUACAUUAAAAAUUCGAAUAAUCUUCUUCAUGUUUUUGCAAAUUUCGUUAGAGGCAAUCUACAUGCAUUUAUAAUUUUUUUCAAGCAAAGAUUUAUCAACAUUCAUAUCAUUAGAGACUAUAUUAUCUUAAGUAGUUUCACAUAUUUUUUAUGGAAAUACAUUGUCCUGCUUGUAUGAAUUUUAUUGAUGAGUAAAAUCCAUAUUGUGUAUUCAACACUAUCUAUUUUAUAACUCAACUUUUUAAAUAUAUAAAAUUUAUAUAAUAAUGAUAAGGGACAAACGUGCAAUGCACGUUCCCAAAGACUAGUAUUAUUAUAAGUGGGAAGCUCCAACCUUGAAAGUUGAAUUACCAUUAUACCCCUACUCUUAAUUUAAAUGCCACAAACCAACUAAUUAAUCAAACAUUAAUAAUAAUCAUAUUAUUAUACUAUUAUACCACUACCAAUCAUAUUUAUUAUAUUAUAUAUCAACAUAACAUAAUAUAAUUAUAAUAAUAAUAAUCUCUGAAGUUAAAUGUUGGAUUACAAAAAUAACCUUAUAAAGUUGAGUUACUAACUUACUAUAAUAUCAUUUAACUAGAUAUUACUUAAAAAAAAAAAUUAUACAAAGAUGUAAAUGCACAUUCUUAUAAAAAUAUAUAUAUUCAGUUAGAAGAGGGUAAACGUUCACCUUUCCCUUCAUUAUUAAAAAUAGUCAUCUUAAUUCAUAAUAAAGGUAAAUAAUAACUUCCAUGCAUGAAUGUGAUCUAUUUUUGUUCAAUGUACUACACCUUUUCUUCUCUUAUCUUUAAUUUUUGCUCAUUUAUCUUCUACCUUUAUAGCCUUUUGAUAUUCUUUUUAUCACCUUAUAAUCUGCAAAAAUUAAUAUCAUUUCAUUAUCCUUUACCGAUAUUGUUUCUUCUCCUAAAAAUCACUGGUUGAUGUAGCUACUUAUCUACAUUAGUACACCUGAUUCUGCCAAAAUACGUAUUAAAUGAUUUGAGGAAACUAGAUUUGAUCUACCAUUUGAUCAAAUCACUAAAUUGGAACUAUAUUUAGAUCAAAUCAUCUAAAUGGAAGUAGCAUUACUAUUGCAAGUUUCUAUCAGGUAAGCCUUUGAUCAUAUUAGAUGAAUAUGUACAAUCCAGUAUUGAUUGUUUACAGAGUAAAUGAGUAUCCUGGGGAAUUUGCAACCUUGUCCCUUGUUUAUUUGCUUCCAUUUUCCCCCCUACUUAUUUACUUAUACUAACUUUAUCACUUUGUAAUAUAAAUUUAGAGCAUUCUAUAAGCUCUAAAUUGGUACUAAUUUUUUUUUAAAUUUUCGCAAGUUGAUAUUUUUUAUAUGAUGUAAAGGAUAACUUUGCAACAUCAAUUAAUUAUAUAUUUUUGCUUUAUGCAGAUUUUAUACGGUUGAAUCAGUGAAAAGAUAUAAUUUCUUUCUUUUCGAUUCGCAUCGUAGGUAAUUGUUCUAUUGAAAAUUUUAGCACUUUUUAUGGACUAUCAAACUAAUUUUUUCCUGUUUGCUUUUUAUCAAUUAUUUGUACAUUACAAAAGUCUAUUUUUCUCAUCAAUUGUUUCUAACAUUUCAAAAUCUCGAAAUAUACUUACUAAUGAAUACCAUUUUCAAUAAUAAAUACUAUCUUUGGGAUAAAAAUAUAAUAUUAUACUUCAUAAUUCAUUGUACUUAAGUCUCCAAAACAUAAUUAUUAUUUUUUAUGUUAUAUUAAUUUCUAAAUUUUCAUUUUUCAUAUAUUAUAUUAUUAUUUUGAAAGUUGAAGCCUUUUAAGUUAAAAAAAUGAAUUACCAAAAUGUCCAUUGUAAGUUGGUCAUUUUUACUGAUUAGUCAUGAACCAUUUCUUCAAUAUUCAAGUUAUACAAAAUUGUAAGAAAAUAUUUCAUAAAAUAUUACCAUUAAAUUAUUAUAAAUUUGUAAUCAAAUUAUACUAAAUCACAGAAAGACAAAUAAGUUGGGAAGUGUAACCAUUACCUUAUUGAAUAGCUACUAAUGCAAAUACAUAUAUUUUCGUCCUAUACACUUAUAAUUAUAUAAAUUUACUAUACGUCAAGGAUAACAAAUUGAAUAGCUACUAAUUCUUUGUUUUAUAUUUCUUGUAUAUAAUAGACAGCAAUCAGCAAUCACUCCGACCCAUUGACUCUAAAAGUCUUGGAUCAAAAUUUUAGGCAAGACCUGAAAGAAUAAACACAUAAAAAUAAUAAAAACAACAAACAUAUUUAUCAUAUGAAUUUUGGUAAUCCUCCCUUAAUGAGUUAGCUUUUGGGGUUGAAUUAGGUGUAAGUAUCAUAUAUUUUACUUGGUAUCCGAGCUGGGGACUGGCUAUGUUUAUAUGGAUUUGAGCAAUCCUCUCUUAGUGAGCUAGUUUUGGGGGUUGAGUUAUACUCAAAUGUCAUAUCUUUACAUGGUAUUAGAGUCGGGGUCCAUUCCCACUCGAGCUCCUUGCCCACGCUCCAGUUGAACCUGUGCGUGAAGGGGUGGUUAGAGUUCCACUUUGGUUGUAGAAUGAACUGAUGGUCUGCUUGUAUGUAUUUGGUUGAGCUAGGUUUUUGGGUCGAGUUAAACCAAGUAUCAUAUCUUUACAAGUACCAAAAAGCACAAAGGAAUGGACUUGUCCAUUCAAGUAUUUAUGUAAUCUAGCAAAUGAUGAGCGAAUGCAGUGUAAGGUCUGUGCCAUUUACAGUGUUCUGUCUUUUCCACAUAUAAAGUUUGCUCACCAUGGGGUAUAUACUUGAGAAAAGGUGACUUGUUUGCCCUUUAAAACAUCUAUGAUUUCUUUCUAUCCAAGUGCACUUCUUACCAUAUUGAUAUGAUGAGAAUUGCAACUUAUAGUACUUUUUGUUUUGUUUCCAAAUUUCUAAAUUUUAUUGCCUGGAUUUACUGCGAAAGUUAGUCACAUUGACUCUUCUUUAGAAAAUGUGCCAAACAUAUUAAGAUGGAAGAAGUGAUCCUUUUUAAAUGGUUUAAUCGUAUGAAGGUUAGCUAAGGUGGUGGAUACGCCCACACCCUAUGCAAUUACUCUGCAUGUUAUAUUGGUUGUCUGUAUGCCUGUGUUUGCGGGGAUGUGUCUGCAUCUAUAGGGGAGAGUUGUAAAUUGAUUGUAGUGCUGUUCAUUAUAUGCUUAACUGUGACUUGUUGUGUUUUCCCAAUGUAGUAGCGUUGAAGUGUUCUGCUUGACACUAAAUUGAAACACUUAUAGGAACAACCAUUACAACUUCCCGAUCCCAGAUUGGUAAUAUGAAUCCUCUAUUUCCAUUCCACUUCUAUUAGGUUUCAUGCUAUUCCUAUAUGAAACGCCACCUAGUGCAUCCGGGAGCAGGCGGUGGGUGCAGAAAUGUUAUGCUGUAAUCCUAGUAGGACUGGUGAAACCUUUUAGUCAAUCUGUAGUCAAGUGAAAGUUGGAGUUCUCCUUUUGUGUGCGGGUUCUGCUCUGAAUAAUUCACUUUGGCUGAUUUUCUUGCCACCUUAUAUAUGAUGAAUAUUCUUCAUGUUUUGUAAUCAACAUUAUCACUCAAAAUUUAGGCUUUUCUAAGUGGACAGAAGGGAAUAGUGUCCUUCUGAGGUUGGCCAAUUACCAAAAGCAAGCCCCUCUUAUUUUUAGUUAAUUGCUUCUUGGGAGCUCCAAUCGUUCCCCAUAAACUCCUCUUUAUAAUCCUUUUCAGGUGCCAGUAGUUCUUUUACAAGGAGGGGAUGGCAAUCCUGUUAGCAAUCAAAUGUGGGGCAAUGAAUGUGAGGAUGCCUCUGAUCAUUCACUAGAGAGUGGCAUACCUACUUUGAUAACAUGGAGUUAUGGUGGUAAUAAUGUUGCUAUCCAAGGAUCUUGGGACAACUGGACAUCAAGGUAAACUCUGGCCUCUUAUUUAGGAGUUGAACUAGAUUCAACCAAGUACUAGCUGUUGCGAUGACUCCUGUUAAUGGAGUUUCUGAAUGUAUCCACUAAUGAUGUUUGCUUGCAGGAAGAUUCUCCAAAGAUCAGGCAAGGACUAUACCGUCUUUUGGUCCUUCCAUCGGGUAUAUAUCAUUACAAAUUCAUUGUGGAUGGAGAAGUUAGAUAUAUUCCAGAACUUCCUUGUGUAGCAGAUGAGACAGGCGUUGUCUUUAAUCUUCUUGAUGUUAAUGUAAGUGAGAAUUCUGCUUCCUGAUUAUUGAGGGGAAGCUGAUUUACAUUUACCUAAUGAACUGAUAUUUACAUUACCACAGCAGAGGCAUCAUUGAUAACUUUAGAACAUUGAUGCAUAAACAUGUGUUCUAUAGUCUAUAUACCUGCUGUUCCCUGAGAAUUUGUUUGGCUCUUAACACAAUCCGCAUCCUUCCUACAGGACAAUGUUCCAGAGAACCUUGAAAGUGUUGCAAUGUUUGAGGCCCCACCAUCACCUGACUCUAGCUAUGCGCAAGCUUUGCUGGGAGAUGAGGAUUUCGCAAAGGAGCCAGUGGCAGUUCCACUCCAACUUCAUCUAACUGUUCUUGGUUCUGAAAACUCAGAAGAGGCACCUUCUUCUCCAAAACCCCAGCACGUAGUACUUAAUCACCUCUUUAUAGAGAAAGGAUGGGCUUCUCAAUCCGCUGUUGCUCUUGGUUUGACGCAUAGAUUCCAGUCGAAAUAUGUCACUGUUGUCCUCUACAAGCCACUGAAGAGGUGACCACCCCGUGUUUACAAUCAAAUCUUUCCAGAGCUUUCUCAGUGUGGCUGCAUUAAGAUUUCCACUGUUUAUAGACCUGCUCAACGUUGAAACUUCCUUUAACCUCUCUUCUCUGUUGUACAAUAGUUUCAAGUUUUAUCAGCAAUGCAUUUUCUCCUUUCUUCACUGUCUUUUCAGUGAUUUUAUGUUCUCAAAAGGAUUAAUGUGAAAAAUGAAAAGAAAAUAUAGUUAGCUCGAUUUUGAAUCUCAUUCACCACCAAUGCUUCUUUUGGUAAUAUUCUGUUGUGGAACAAAAUAUUUCUCAUCUCUUCCUCGAAUAGAUUCUUGUUUUUUGUGGUUUAUUAUUUUGGAAUUUCAAUGAACUAAUUGUGGAUGGGUCAUAAGAUUUUAUAUUGCAUAUAACUUAUCAUUAAAGAUUAUCUCACCCUAAUGAUGCUACACACUUUAAGCAAACAGGAUUUAACGAUAGUAAGUCUACAACUUAUUACAUCUUUUCCUUAAAGAAAUAACAGUAAUAUUAUUAGUGAUUAUUUCUUCUUCUGCAAUUCCUUUGCCUUCGCUGCUUCUUUCUCCUUCUCAUCAUUAUUUUGUGCUCCAGCUUUACAAUGAUUCUUGCAAACCAUACCGGUUUUCCACUUGACAUCAUGAAAUAUACUAUGGAUAUUCCAAUACAUAGUCCACUUCCAUACCCCAUAAGAGCAGCUUUCCGAAAAUCACUCUGAAAUUCAGAAUUGCUUUCUUCACCGUCUAGCUGUCCAGAUAUGGCAUAAGUUGUCCCACAACUUUUUGAAACAGGAAAACCACGUAAUCCAUCAUUGCCUUCAUAUGAAUUGUUCUCAAAGGUAUGAAAUUGAUUUCCUUGAGGAAUGCACCCUUUCGAGAUGAUUGUAAGAAAGAUUGAAGACUUCAAGAGAUGUAAGAGAAGCAAAUUGUGCUGGUAUCUCUCCUACAAGAUGGUUACUUGACAGGUCCAAUGAUUCAACCAAAGAUAAUCUUCCAAGUGAUGGCGGUAUAUGACCUUCCAAUCUAUUAUGAGAUAUAUUCAGCACACGGAGUGCAAUGAGAUCUCCCAUAAUAGUUGGAAUAUGUCCUUCGAAUGUGUUGUUUGAAAGAUCGAUAGUGAUGUACAAAAACAAGAUUCUCACAACUUCACGCUCAUAUCCCUUGGAUACGACAGCUAUCGAGUCUUGGUAAUAUGAAUCUCCACCAUAUUUUGAUGCUUCCAUUGAUGGAUCAGUUGUCCUCAUGGCUUUCAGAUGUUGAAACAAAUUCGAAGGUAAGUUUCCUGAGAAGGCAUUGUAAGAGAGAUCUAUGAUUCGAAGCUCUGGAAACAUGUUCUCAAUCCUUGAUGUUCUGAUGGGACCAUGCAAUUUGUUGAAUCGCAAGCUUAGAACUUUCAGCUUUGGCAGAGUCCCCAACCACACGGGGAAUGUGUCAUUGAGGUGAUUGUCUCCUAAAUCAAGAACUUCAAGUUGUUUGCAAUUGGUCAAGGAUUGUGGGAUUUUCCCCUCUAGUUUAUUGCCAUGCAAGUUGAGGCUGCUCAGUGAACUUCCAUUGCUGAAAGUUGUUGGAAUAUUCCCAGAAAGAUUGUUGUGGCGCAUAUCCAAAACCUGGAGGGAAGUGAUAUUUCCGAAACACUGCGGAAUUUCUCCACUCAAAUUGUUUGUCGCCAAAUCCAGCAUUAUCAGUGAUGUCAAGUUGCAAAUAGAUGAAGGAAUUUCUCCAGUGAGAUUAUUAUGGGAUAUGAAGAUGAAUCUUGUGGAAUUUGAUGGAAUGGGUAGUGAACCUUGAAGUAAAUUGGACCGCAAAUCAAUAGUAUUUACAGACUGAAGAGGAAUUGAAUCCACACUCGUCAGCAUAUUGUGGGAUAUAUUAAGAUCUUGCAAUGAAAACAUCCAGUUAGACCAUGCCCAAUCAGGAAUUCUUCCUUGAAUCUUAUUAUUUGAAAGAUCCAACUUCCAAAGCUGCUUUGCGGAUCUUAGAAACUCCAACUCUUUCACUUCACAUGCGGCCAAUUCUAACUCAAUAAAAGAUUCGGACAAAGUAACGUUGUUGUCAUUGGUCAAUGAGAUAUUAUUAUAUGAAAGACUAAGAUAUGAAAGCUGUUUGAAGUUUGAAAAGAAGCUGACAUCCACACGACCACUAAAAUUAUUGAAAGAAAGGGAAAGUUCUGUUAGGUUCACAAGGUUUUGAAUUGAGUGGGGAAGAUGACCCUGCAGCUGGUUGCCCUCUAAAUAUAUCCAGAUUAGUGAAUUGGACUUGAAAUCUUCAAAGGGACCAGAUAAGUGAUUAAAACUCAAGUCUAUUGCAUUUAGUGAUGGAAGGGAUAACAUCCCUGGUGGUAUUGUUCCAUUCAGGGAGUUAUUGCGAAGGCCCAAAAUAACUCAAAUGCGGGUGAGAUUUGAAAGAGAUUCAGGAAUAGGCCCUCUAAGGUUGCAACUUUUAAGAGACAAAUAACGCACCGAAGUUAGAUGAUAGCCAAGAGACUCAGGCAAAUUAUCAGAAAAAUUCACGCCCCUGAGAUAUAACUCUACGAGAGAUGCACUGCUGUUCCAUUUGGUCUUUGGAAAAUAACCGCUUAGCUUAUAAUUGAAACCUAAGAAAAGUAUUUCCAGGUUGGGCAGGUGGAAUAUACUCUCAGGUAUUAUCCCAAACAAUCCUGUAUAUGUCAGCCUCAGAGUUGUUAAAUGAGAAGAAAAAUUCAGAGGAAUGGUGGAAGAGAUGUUUAUGCCACUAAGAUGAAGCUCUCUUAAUUGGGUCAAGUUCUGAAGAAGCGAUUUAAAAUCAUGGGUUGUGAGUCUUAGCUUCUUAUAGUCAUAAAUUGUGGANNNNNNNNNNNNNNNNNNNNNNNNNNNNNNNNNNNNNNNNNNNNNNNNNNNNNNNNNNNNNNNNNNNNNNNNNNNNNNNNNNNNNNNNNNNNNNNNNNNNNNNNNNNNNNNNNNNNNNNNNNNNNNNNNNNNNNNNNNNNNNNNNNNNNNNNNNNNNNNNNNNNNNNNNNNNNNNNNNNNNNNNNNNNNNNNNNNNNNNNNNNNNNNNNNNNNNNNNNNNNNNNNNNNNNNNNNNNNNNNNNNNNNNNNNNNNNNNNNNNNNNNNNNNNNNNNNNAGGUCAAGUUCAAUGACAUGUCCAGUGAUGUCAUCACAUACGACUCCAUCCCAUGAGCAGCAAUCUCUGCUCGUGUUCCAUGAACUCGUUUUUGGAUAAGGCUUCGGACAAUCAUAAUAAAGGAUUGCUGAGGGAUGUAUAGUAAAGGACUGCUUGAAUUUUAAAAGUGAAAUGGUUUGAUGUUUGUGAGGUAAUAUGGAUAUUGAAGAAACUUCAUGACAGAGAAACACAAUUAAGAGCAUAAUAACUGCAUACCCCAUUUUUUAGCUUCAAACACUUCCUAACUAUGCAAUAAAGGUAUGCAACUAUAUAUAUAUAUAUAUAGGCACAUAUUUGCUUGACCAGGUCCAAGUUGGAUUGCAGUAGUAAUAAUUAUCAAUUUUGGCAUUUUUAUUUUUCAUUCUGGGGCUAAUAUAUCAUAAGUUCAUUAGGUAUUUUAAUUGACAUGUAUUAUUUUAUUCUUGUAUAAAUAUUUUUUAAAAAUAAUUAUGCAAUGUAUGCUGUUUUUAAUACACUAAAUUAAAUAAUGCAUAAGAAAUAAUAUACAUAUGGUUAAUGCACGAUAACUAAUACAAACGUUACUAAUACACUCUAUUGAACAUUAUUCUUGUAUACCAACCGUACUAAUAGCUGAUUACUUAAUGCAUGCAUUAGCAUGAUUAAAGGAACAACUGCCCCUCAAAAUCUUUUCCAUAUUUUUCCACAAUAUUUGUAGAUGGUAUUUUUGUAAAUAAAUAUUUUUUUAAAAUUAUCAAUGCGUGUUAUUUUUAAUACACCAAACCAAACAAUGCAUAACAACAUAAGAAAUAAUCUCAUAAUAAUAGCUAAUACAAACAUUAUUAGUACAUUAUAUAUUCAUCAUCAUUCUUAUAUAUCCCUACCAAAUGCAUCCUAUGGAUUUGACGGCAGAUUCAGAAUCCAUAUACUUUAAAACCUAACUCUAUCUCUUAUGUUAAUUAUAUAAUAAAGGAAAAAUGCUUAAAAAUGCCAUUGAACUUUGAAAAAGAGCUCAUUUAUGUCAUCUGUUAAACAAUUGGCUCAUCCAUGCCAUUUUCGUUUGAGAAUUAAAGGCUCAUCCAUGCCAUUAUUUGUUCACUGAAAAUAGUUUCGGUUUUGCAAAUCAUUUUUUCCACGUGGUAAAUUAUCAUUCGGUCAUGUCAUUAAUUAAAAAAAAAUUAAAGGGAAAAAGCUCAAAUAUGCCAUUGAACUUUGAAUAAAGCUUCGUUUAUAUUAUCCAUUAAAAGUUUGACUCAUCUAUGCCAUUCACUUAACAAAAAUAAUGGCAUGAAUGAGUAUUUUUCUCAAAUGAAAAUGGCAUAGAUAAGUCAAACUUUUAACAGAUGGCACAAAUGAGCUUUAUCUCAAAGUCCAAUAGCAUAUUUGAGUCUUUUCCUUACAAUAAAUAUAAUUAUAAAUGAAUAUGAGAGGGUUAUUAUUUGAAUGGUAAAAUCAUAUUCCAGUAAAAAAUGUCUCGACAUAAUUUUAAUCGUUCUUAACAAUAGCCAUCUGAUAUCUAAUUGCUUGAUUAAUAUAUAUUAGUAAACUUUAGCAUUAGUCUAAACUAAUGGAGGCCAAGGAGUUGCCGAGCUGGGAGAAGAUGAGGUGUGUUGAAGGAUGUGAAUGAAAUAAUCUUUGUAGAAUAUUAUUUGUGAAACUUGUUAUUUUUCCGAAAAAAACGUAACAAUAAUUUAUUCCACAAUGUAAUUAGUUCCAAAUUCCAUCUUGAUCCAUAGUAAUUUUGAUAUCAACUAAAAUGAAAUAGAGAAAUCAGUGUUUGUUAUUAUUCUCAAGUCUAUGUAGAAGUCUUGCUAUAGAAAUUUCAAAGAAAGCUAUACCACACAAUUUAAUAUCAAUUUAAUGAUAAAUUCCAAAGCUUGCAAAAGAAAAAAUAGGAAGAUAAAUAAAUUAUGGAAACAGUUUUUUAGUUCAAGAACCAACAAAUCCUUACACUUGAUUUAGACAUUUAUUUAUGUGGAUCUAUUUCUUAUUCUGAAGGGAGAUUUAUUUAUAAAGAAAAAAAAAUAACUUUAUUGGAUCAAUAAAUGAUUUAGUCAAGCAUUUUUAAGUAGCAUGUUUGUUUUGGUAUAACGGUAAGAUAUUGAAUUGUUGAGGGACCGACCUUAUUGGACGUGAUAUUAGAAUGAAACAUGGCCUAUUUUUUAUUUUUUAUUUUUAGUUUCAUUCGAUUUUAAAUAUCCACAAUAUGACGUUGAUUAAUCUAGAUUUUCGCCGUGUGAGAUACAUUAAAGACAUAAGCACCAAGUUUUUGACACAGUGUUCCUCCAAAUAACUUUUUUAUUGCACCUAAAAGUAUUAAUGUUGUGGAAAUAUUAAUGAAAGUUACUUAACACACAAAUUUCUUUCACUUCGAAUUUUCAUAUUGAAAUAAAUAAAUACGAAUUUUAUCAUCAAAAGAAUAAGGAAAAAGCAAUAGUCGAGCAAGGCAUGUUGUUGCCUUAAUUCGUAUCAAAGGGAAAAUCACCUAGGUAUACUAUAUCAUUAAAAUAUUUACCAUCUAUAGCAGUAACUUUUUUCUCUUGAAAUAUAUCAAUAUUAGGAGAAUGUAAGAGAAAUCUUAGGAAUAGGAUCUAUAUUCAUUAAAACUUUAGCUAUCAAUAACUUAUAUUUUAAAUUAAUAUUCACAUAUUUUGAAACUAUUUAGUCCUUACACGAGGUCGAGUUUUGGCAGAGAAAUUUCAAAUGAAAGUUACUUAACAAUAUAUGUAUAGGCACGCACAUAUUUGUUUGACUAACUCCAAAUUGGAUGCAGUUUAUCAAUUUAUUUGUGAAAUUUAUAUCAAAUUAGGAGGAAAAUAAGGAAAAAUAUAUUUUGUGAUUUGAAAGAAGAUAAUAUUCCAUAUUGAAAGGAAGAAUUUAAGGGAGGGGAAAAGGAAGAGAUGAGGGAACCGAAAUCAGUGGUGACGUUAUUAAUUUCUUUCCACUUUUUUGUUUUACUAAUUCCUUUUAUUUUCCUUCUGCAUUUUUAAUAAGUUAAUUGUUCUCAACUAUAAGAUAUAUAAUUCCCUACCACCAUUUCAUUAAAUUAAAAGAAACCUUCAUUAUCAUUAAUUUUUGGCAUAAUAAUAAAAUUAUGCCUUUUUUUUUUAAAAAAAGAGGAUAUAAUAAUAAAAUUAUGCAAAAAAGGAGUACGCGGCAUCUUUCUUUAACUUAGCAUCGGUAUUUUUCUUCUUUUUUUCAACUAAAAAUAUUGAUUACAAUUAAAUACACACCCUAUGUUAGUUUCUUCCCUUAAAUUUCUUUUAUUCAUUUCUUUAUGAUUAGAAUUAACAGUUGCACACCGAAGAAGCUAGAGUUUUAAAGAGUGCUUAUUCUUCGAGACCCAUGUAUGACUGUCAAGGCUUAUUAGUUAUCAAUUUAUACACAAUAUUAAUUUCUCUCAACUUUUUUUUCUAAUUGUUUUUUAUUUAUAUAUAACAAUUAGAAAAUUCAAAAAUUAUUUCUUAAUUAUUAUUUAUCUAUUUUUCAAAUUUAGAAAGUCCAAAAGUCAUUAUCAUUAAUUUAGUGAUUUAAUCAUCAUUUAUUAUACAAUAAAUAAUAUUAUAUAAUAAUUUUUAUUUAUAUAUAGAGUAAGCAUAAUUUUUUUCCUGCAAUAUUACGAUAUCCAAAAUAUUUUGAAGAUCAAAAGGUUGAUAACAAUAUAAUUACUAAUACAAAUAUAAUUAUUAUUCAUGAAUAACUUGAAAACAUGAUUUACUGAAAAUAAUUGGAAGAUCAAUACAACGAAAGAAGACACAAAAACUAAAAAAUAGCACAAGAAGAUAAAGAGACGGAACAAAAAAAAAAUCAGAUUUAGAAAACCAAAUAAACUUGGCUAAUUAAGACGAUAACUAUGAAUUAAUUUUAGUUAGGGAAGAAAGAGGACUCAACUUUCCUUUGCUAUAUUUUACUAUAAUUAUAAUUAUAUUUAAAAAUAUAUCUAUUAAUUACUUAAUUAAGUUAUCAUGUUUAUCUUAAAAACUACUUGAUGGUGUAGAAAAUCUUAUACACUUAUAACCCUGAACAAAACUUAAACUCUUAUUUUAAUAAAUUAUAUAGCAAGUUUCAAACAGUUGGUUCUAGUGUUUUCUUGAAACAUCAUAUAAAGAAAUUUAUAUUUUAUGAAAAUUAAUUUAUAUUAGAAUUAUUGUUAUUGUUUUAAAAUGAUGUGUUUUGUUACUGUGCGAAGCGCGAUCAAGUUAACUAGUUUCGAAUAAAAGUGAAAAAUCUUUCAAAUAAAAUGAAUAAUUUACACAAAUAUAAUACGUACUACUUAUAUAAUUAUAAUAUUAGAGAGAGUGAAAGCUAAGGAGUAGUCAAUUCAAAGUUUGAAUUAUUGGAGCAGACUUGGCAGUGACUGAGAGUCCACUUUGCAUGGACAUGAGCCACCUUCCACAAAAAAUGAACACUUUCUUUUCCGUGAAAAUCUAGCUACGAUUUUUAAGUCGUUUUUGUUUGAUCAUAAAUUUUAAAAAUUUGAAUUUAUGUUUAAAAAUAUAUUUAAUUUAGUCAUGAUUUUUUUUAAUAAUAAAGUGAAAAGGAAAUGAUUGUUACUGUAAACUCAAUAAUAAUGGUGAUUCAAAUAUUAUUAAUCCACAUAUAUAUUUUACAUAUCAUUAUUACAUCCAUCUUCCGUAUUAUAAGUGGAUUACAUUUGAAUGGUUAAUCAAAUUUUGUACCAAAUGUAUUAACUUGAUUUAUAGUCACCUCCUUUCUUUACUUUAAUCAGCCCACUUCAAACAACGAUUGGUGCUAUUGCUUUUUUGUUUCUUCUUUUUUGAUUACUUAAUUUUAUUAUUAACUAUUUAAAGAAAUUUCUUUAGAAGAUAAAGCAAAAAACCUAAAAUAAAUCUUAUUUUUAUAAAAAUAAGAUUUAUUUUAGGUUUUUUUUUUGUCUUUAUCUUCUAAAGAAAUUUCUUUAGAAGAAAAAGCAAAAAAAAAAAAACCUAAAAUAAUCUUAUUUUUUUAUAAAAAAAAAAAUCAUUCAGAUCCAAAUAGAGAUUUUUUUCAAUAAAAAUUCCACCUUGACCUAUAGUAAAUUUGAUAGCAACUGAAAAGAAAUAUGGAAAUUAAUGUUUGUUAUCCCAAGUCAAUGCACAAGUCUUGCUAUAGAAAUUUCAAAAAAAGCACUUAAAAAGUAGAGAAAUAUCAUUCUUAAAUAUUAGACACGACUAAGUCAUAUGACAGAGUGUAUUUUUGGUAUAAUUAUAAGAUAUUGACUUGUUUACCUCAUAUUUAGAACUAGAAGUGACUUUUUCUAUAAUAAAAAAAAUUGAUUUCUCAUUCGAUUUUUGAUAUCCACAUUUGGAACCCGAUUAAUUUGGAUUCUCUCGGCGUAAGGCCUAUUAAAGGGGGAAACAACACCAAGUUUUUGGAUGGAGUGUCCCUCCAAAUAUCUUUUUUCUUGCACCGAGAAGUAUUAAUGCAGUUCUUUGAAUUAACAAGUAAUUGCAAUGAGUCUUGCUGUGGAAAUUUCAAUGAAAACUACUUGACCCACACAUCCCUUUCACUUUGAAUUUUCAUAUUGAAAUAACUUACUUAAGAAUUUUAUUGUCAGAAAGAGAGAGGAAAGGGUAAAAGUCAAGUAUGGAGUGCUGCCUCCCUAUCAAAUCAUCAAUCAAUUCCAAGUUCACAAAAUGUUGUCAUUUUCAAAGCAAUGCACAAAGUCUUUCCAGGAAAAUAUCGAUUUGAUGAAAAAGUUCAAAGUUUGCAAAAGAAAAAAUAGAUAAAAACAAAAUAAAGCAAAUUGCGUUUUGGUUCAAGAACCAGCAAAUCCUUACGAUUGAUUUAGAUUUUAGACAUUUAUUUAUGUGGAUCUAUUUCUUAUUUUGAAGAGAGAAAUCUUAGGAAUAUGAGUUUCUUAAGAAAAUAACACAAAAUAUGAGAUGAGUGAUGACACUAAAAUAUUCAAUAAAAAAUAAUAAUGAAAUCAUCAUAUAAAAUAAAUAUUGCAAAGUCAUAAUGAAAAUGAUCAUAAUUUAAAAGUACUAAAUCAUGCUAAAAUAAGUUUAAUAAGUAUUAGUUACAUUACUAAAUAUUUAAGGAAAAUUAAAAUUAGAUUAUGUAUUUUAAUUGUCUAAACCAAUGUAAAACUAAAGAACAAAUAUUCAAUAUUAUUGUCAUUCUUAGUGUUGAAUUGAUUUUCUUUUUACAUUAGUAUUUAUUUGAUUUUGAUUUAUUAUAACUAUCAACGUCUAUGAACUAUAAUCUUUAUUGGACCAUUCUGAAUUCUAAGUUUUAAACUUGAAAUAAUAUAUUAAAAGAUAAAAACUAUGGAAUAGUAUAAGAAAUAUUUUAAAAUUAUAUCAAAGUAAAUAUUUUUAUGUAUAAAAUAAAAUUUUAAAAUUACAUAUAUAAUGUCGGGUUGGUUUGGUCUCAGGUUGAUUUUUUUUAGUUAAAACCAAACCAACCCAAAUAUAGUCGAAUUUUUUUCCAAUAUCAAACUAAGUCAAACCAAACCACUAGUCGGGAUUUUUUCCUGAUUUGAUUCGAUUUUCGAUUCAAUUUUGUACACCCCUAGUUACUUGACAAUCAUAUCCUUUUCACUUUAAUUUUUCAUUUUGAUGUGACUACAACUUACUCUUUACUCUAAAUUCCAUGGACUUAGAAAACUUGAGGCAAUUUGAACAUUAAUGUAAACAAAGAUGUGACACAUAUUACUUUAGAUUUACUCGCCUGUUUCAAAAUAAGUGAUAUUUUUAGUUUGAUUACUUCAUAUUUACCUUCGAUAGGAUAAACACAAUAUACAAACUAACUGUAUUUCCACAUGAUGAUCUUGCAGGCUUAAAAAACUUGAGAAUUUUCAGAGAAAAUUGGAAGAUGAUCAAUGUCUAUUAGAAGUAAAAAAUAACAAGAACAAAUACACAAGAAUCUGAAAUAUCAACAAAAUUAGUCGCGCAAAAUAAAAAACAUAAAAUCCUCAAUUGUCAUAAGGUUCAAAAUAACCGAAUUUAGGUAAGUUGAGUUGAUCAGUUCUCACUUGGCCAUCAUGACCUUGACGAACUCGUCAUAGUUGAUCUGUCCAUCACCAUCCACGUCAGCUUCACGAAUCAUCUCGUCAACCUCUUCAUCUGUAAGCUUCUCGCCUAGCUCAGCUGCAGAAAUGAAUCCAUUCUGAUCCUUGUCAAACACUCUGAAAGCUUCCUUCAGAAUCAGUGUCUUUCAUCUUCCGAGCCAUCAAGUUAAGGAACUCGGGGAAGUCAAUGGUUCCAUUUCCAUCAGCAUCAACUUCAUUGAUCAUGUCUUGAAGCUCAGCCUCAGUUGGAUUUUGUCCCAGCGAACGCAUCAUGGUUCCAAGCUCCUUAGUGGUGAUGCAACCUGUAGACAAAAUUUGGCAAUAAAUUACAAAAAAUGUAUUGAUAAUGUGUUACAAAUCUUACAACAGUACUUAAAAAAGGUUUUUUCUUUUUCUUAACUUAUUCAUUCUACCAGAAAAGUUCUAGACAAGCACAAAACAACGAGAAUAGAUGAACAAAACUAACACAUUAUUAACCGCAUCCAUGACUUAAAAGUUAUAAAAUAUAGAGGAAAAACAGGGAAAAACUUUUCAAUGGGAAGACAGACCAGAUUUUAUUUUCAUCGAGCCCAUGCGAAGGGCCUGGUUAAGAUACGCCAGAUUUCACCAAGUAUACAAAUGGAACCUAACCAUACAUGUCCUCUGAUUAUAUCUUCUAAAUCGUCCCCACUAUCAAUCCAUCCUUCCCCUCCAAAAGGGGAUUUUAGUAGAAAACCAAAAAAUAUGAUACUCAAGCUAAGGGUCAAAAAAUAUAAUCUUUCGGAAAGGUUACAACCUUUUAUAAAAGUCAGAACUUUGCAUAAAAGUCACAAUUUUUCAUAAAAGUUACAACUCUUCAUAAAAGUCACAACUCUUCAUUUUCCAUUCACACCUUUUAAACCCAACAAUCCCCCGCAUGAAUGGGGAAUGACUCCUAGACAAAGAAACGGACAAGUAUGUGUACUUUACAAGCAAGAACUAAUUGCAUCUGGAUAAGUAGGUUUUCCUUUGAACUUUCCGUAGUGAACUUAUGUCGGAUAUACUCGGUCAAUCGAUAGAUUUGAUAUCUUUGAACCGUCAAGCUUUGGUGUAUACCUAGACAACCAUAUGUCACACAAUCAAGCCUUUACCGUUAUGGUUCUUAUGGUUGUGUUCGUUUCAGCCAUGAGACUUGUUGUGGUUCCUCCAAUUAUUUUUUAUUGCAUCUAGAAGUAUCAAUGCACUUCUUUGAAUUUUCAUGUAAUACCACUGAGACAGUGAAAGAACUGUACUGUGGUAGUGACAAUGGAAGAUGGUUCAUUAGAACUGAUGCUAUUAACAAAUUCUUGUAGUUAUAUAAGUUUCAGAUAUCACAUACUGGAAUAUCAACUAGUCUCAGACCGAUUUUGCAUAUUGUAUCUCUUUAUAUUUUGUUUCUAAAAUGUUUCUGUGUUUGAUGGAAAUAUUAAGUCGACAGCACACUGUCAAGGUGCUACAAUCAAAACUGAGAAAUAAUGCCAGAGUGAUGUGUGUGCAUCCGGGGGCUAAAUCUCUUUAUACUAUUUUGCUUAUGUGAUUGAUUUUAACGCCUUUUUUUCUUUGGAGCAAGUAUUAUUGGACUAUAUAUCAACAGAAACACACUGCAUAAAUUUGUAAUUUAUACUACACAGUAAGAAUUGAAGCCACAUCUAAAACUGUUCAGCGAAAAUAUUCAGUUAGACAAUUAUUAUUGCUUAAAAACUGAUUGGCAUUCGUUUCCAUUCAUUGCCAUAACUUCUUCUUCCCUUUCUCCACUUCCAUAGACACUAGCUCCUCGCUGUAAUCAAAAUAUCUUAUUUAAACAUCAACUGAUGCUGAGCCUUUUGAAAUUAUUGGAAAUGAAAAAAAUGAAUAGUAUAGCGCACCUAUUAGUUACCUGAAGUCAAAACUUAUUACUUGUCUAGAAAUGAUUGUUUCUUCUUCUGUAAUUCCUUUGCCUUUGCUGCUUCUUUCUCCUUCCCCUCAUUAUUUUGUGCUCCAUCUCUACAAUGAUUCUAGCAAGCCAUAUCGGUUUUCCAGUUGACAACAUGAAAUAUAAUAUGGAUAAUCCGAUACAUAGUCCACUUCCAUAGCCCAUAAGAGCACCUUUCCAAAAAUCACUCUGAAAUUCAGAAUUGCUUUCUUCAUCGUCUAGUCCAGAUACGGUAUCAUUUGUAUCUAACACCCGAGCAUCGCUGCAACUUUUUGAAACAGGGAAUCCACGUAAUCCAUCAUUGCCUUCAUAUGAACUGCUCUCAAAAGUGUGGAAUUGAGGUCCUUGAGGGAUGCAUCCUUGGAGAUGAUUGUGGGAGAGAUUUAAGAAUGAAAGAGACGUAAGAGAAGCCAGUUGUUGUGGUAUCUCUCCCGAAAGCUGGUUUCCUGAUAGGUCCAAUGAUUCAACUGAAGAUAAAUCUCCAAAUGAUGGUGGUAUAUGACCUUGCAAUCCAUUAUGUGAUAAAUUCAAUGUAUGAACUGCAAUGAGAUCCCCCAUGAUACUUGGAAUUUCCCCUCCAAAUUUAUUACUUGAAAGGUCGAUAACAGUGUACAAAUACAAGAUACUCGCAAUUUCACGCUCAAAUCCCUUUGUUACGACAGCUACCGUGUCUUGGUAAUAUCCAUCACUUGGUGCCUUCUUUGAUGGAUCAAUUGUCCUCAUGGCUUUCAAAUGUUUAAACAGGCCCGUAGGUAAGUUUCCCGUGAAGGCACUGGAAGAGAUAUCCAAUAUUUGAAGCUCAAGAAACAUGUUUUCACUUCCUAAAGUUCUAAUGGGUCCAUGCAACUUAUUCAAUCUCAAGCUUAAAACUCUCAACUUAGGAAGAGUUCCCAACCACAUCGGAAAGAUGUCAUUCAGGUGGUUAUCUCCUAAAUCAAGAACUUGCAACUCUUUGCAAUUGGCCAAAGAUUGAGG
Molecule: long non-coding RNA, 22021 nt
Filed under: Solanum tuberosum (potato)
Lineage: Eukaryota; Viridiplantae; Streptophyta; Magnoliopsida; Solanales; Solanaceae
Description: long non-coding RNA (STUB_LNC011950)
Source: RNAcentral